UGGCUCAGUUGGUAGAGCGCGGUGCUCACAACGUCAAGGUUGUGGGUUCGAUUCCCAU
This 58-nucleotide transfer RNA is filed under the name Salmo salar (Atlantic salmon). It matches the Rfam family "tRNA", at positions 8 to 63 of the family's 71-position model. From Rfam's summary of the family: Transfer RNA (tRNA) molecules are approximately 80 nucleotides in length. Their secondary structure includes four short double-helical elements and three loops (D, anti-codon, and T loops). Lineage: Eukaryota; Metazoa; Chordata; Actinopteri; Salmoniformes; Salmonidae. The record is from Rfam by way of RNAcentral.